ACAUCAAUUACCUGGGGAUCUUGUUAAAAUGUAAAUUUUUAUUCAAUAAAUGUAGGGAGGGGUUUGAGUUUCUGAGUUUCUAAUAUGUUCCCAGGUGUUGCUGAU
This 105-nucleotide microRNA precursor is filed under the name Marmota monax (woodchuck). The record is from RNAcentral. Lineage: Eukaryota; Metazoa; Chordata; Mammalia; Rodentia; Sciuridae.